UAACACGUAAAGAACCUACCUUAUAGACAGGGACAACUAUUGGAAACGAUAGCUAAUACCUGAUAAGAAAGAAACUCGCAUGAGAGAAGUUCGAAAGUCGGAGCAAUCUGACACUAUAAGAUGGCUUUGCGGUGCAUUAGCUAGUUGGUAGGGUAAAAGCCUACCAAGGCGACGAUGCAUAGCCGACCUGAGAGGGUGAUCGGCAACAUUGGGACUGAGACACGGCCCAGACUCCUACGGGAGGCAGCAGCU
Molecule: ribosomal RNA, 252 nt
Filed under: uncultured Gemella sp.
Lineage: Bacteria; Bacillati; Bacillota; Bacilli; Caryophanales; Gemellaceae
Description: partial 16S ribosomal RNA
Rfam family: Bacterial small subunit ribosomal RNA
Source: RNAcentral